GAUUUCUGGCUUGAAACAUUUGGCCGGCCACGGUUUCGUGUGUUAGUGCUUUGUGUUCUGGCCAUCCUUCCAAUGGCUGCUCACUUUUCUUCAUUGAUUGGUGAGUGGUAUUGGAUCUUUUACUUUGAAAAAAUUAGAGUGUUUCAAGCAGGCGUUUGCUAUGAAUACAUUAGCAUGGAAUAAUAAUCUAGGACUUCCGUCCUAUUUUGUUGGUUUCUAGAAUGGAAGUAAUGAUUGAUAGGGAUAGUUGGGGGUGCUAGUAUUCAGUGGCCAGAGGUGAAAUUCUCGGAUUCACUGAAGACUAACUUAUGCGAAAGCAUU
Molecule: ribosomal RNA, 321 nt
Filed under: uncultured Sandonidae
Lineage: Eukaryota; Cercozoa; Glissomonadida; Viridiraptoridae
Description: SSU rRNA
Rfam family: Eukaryotic small subunit ribosomal RNA (bases 112-321)
Source: RNAcentral